Molecule: ribosomal RNA, 253 nt
Filed under: uncultured bacterium
Lineage: Bacteria
Description: partial 16S ribosomal RNA
Rfam family: Bacterial small subunit ribosomal RNA
Source: RNAcentral
GACGUAGGGGGCAAGCGUUAAUCGGAAUUACUGGGCGUAAAGCGUGCGCAGGCGGUGUUGUAAGUCAGUUGUGAAAUCCCCGGGCUCAACCUGGGAACUGCAUCUGUGACUGCAUUGCUGGAGUGCGGCAGAGGGGGAUGGAAUUCCGCGUGUAGCAGUGAAAUGCGUAGAUAUGCGGAGGAACACCGAUGGCGAAGGCAAUCCCCUGGGCCUGCACUGACGCUCAUGCACGAAAGCGUGGGGAGCAAACAGG